GACUAACGCUGGCGGCGUGCUUAACACAUGCAAUUCUAGCGGUAAGGCCCUUCUGGGUACACGAGCGGCGAACGGGUUAGUAACACGUGUGUAAUCUGCCCCUCACUUCGUGAUAACUCCGGUAACCCUUUGCUAAUACCGAAUAUGCCCACUUACAUCAUCUGAUUGUUGUGGAACGUUCCGGCGGUGAUGGAUGAGCUCGCUGCCUAUCCGCUUGUUGGUGGGGUAGUGGCCUACCAAGGCUUCUACGGGUAGCCGGCAUGAGAGUGUGACCGGCAACACUGGGACUGAGACACGGCCCAGAAUCGUAAGGGAGGCAGAAGUGGGGAAUAUUGGACAAUGGGCGAAAGCCUGAUCCAGAAACGCCGCGUGAGGGAUGACGGCCUUAGGGUUGUAAACCUCUGUCAGCAGGGACGAAGCGCAAGUGACGGUACCUGCAGAAGAAGCACCGGCCAACUACGUG
Molecule: ribosomal RNA, 463 nt
Filed under: uncultured bacterium
Lineage: Bacteria
Description: partial 16S ribosomal RNA
Rfam family: Bacterial small subunit ribosomal RNA
Source: RNAcentral